GAUGAACGCUGGCGGCGUGCCUAAUACAUGCAAGUCGAGCGAAAAGACGAGGAGCUUGCUCCUCGGACGUUAGGGGCGGACGGGAGAGUAACAUGUGUAUACCCUACCUAUAAGACUGGGAUAAUUUCGGGACACCGGCGCUAAUAGCGGAGAAUAUAUUGAUGCGCAGGGGUCGAUAGUGAGAGUCGGUUUUGGUGUCACUUAUAGAUGGAUCCGCGCCGCAUUAGCUAGUUGGUAAGGUAACGGCUUACCAAGGCAACGAUGCGUCGCCGACCUGAGAGUGUGAUCGGCCACACUGGAACUGAGACACGGUCAAGACUCCUACGGGAGGCAGCAGUAGGGAAUCUUCCGCAAUGGGCGAAAGCUUGACGGAGCAACGCCGCGUGAGUUAUGAAGGUCUUCGGAUCGUAAAACUCUGUUAUUAGUGAAGAACAAAUGUGUAAGUAACUAUGCACGUCUUGACGGUACCUAAUCAGAAAGCCACGGCUAACUACGUG
This 497-nucleotide ribosomal RNA is filed under the name uncultured bacterium. Its description in RNAcentral is "partial 16S ribosomal RNA". It matches the Rfam family "Bacterial small subunit ribosomal RNA", at positions 28 to 507 of the family's 1533-position model. The record is from RNAcentral.